AAAAAAAUUAAAAGGAGAUUAAUGAAGAAUUGUUACCAUUUUGUAGAGGUGAUAAUUAGGGAUGUAGAAUUUAGAAUUUUUAGAGUUUUCUUUUUUUUUGUGGCUUAAGGAAAAAUAAUAAUAAUUUCUGAGAGAAUUAUACGUAGAAUAACUGCUUCUAAAAUAAUUUCUCUACUGUCCUCGAAAAGUUUUGAAAAAAUAGUUUUCCGGGAAAACGUCCUUUUCCACUGUUUUUGUUUUAUCGGAUUAAAAA
RNAcentral lists this long non-coding RNA (253 nucleotides) under Ananas comosus (pineapple). RNAcentral's name for it is "long non-coding RNA (ACOM_LNC030088)". The record is from RNAcentral. Lineage: Eukaryota; Viridiplantae; Streptophyta; Magnoliopsida; Poales; Bromeliaceae.